This 492-nucleotide ribosomal RNA is filed under the name uncultured bacterium. Its description in RNAcentral is "partial 16S ribosomal RNA". It matches the Rfam family "Bacterial small subunit ribosomal RNA", at positions 29 to 507 of the family's 1533-position model. The record is from RNAcentral.
AGUGAACGCUGGCGGCAGGCCUAACACAUGCAAGUCGAACGGCAGCACAGUAAGAGCUUGCUCUUACGGGUGGCGAGUGGCGGACGGGUGAGGAAUACAUCGGAAUCUACUUUUUCGUGGGGGAUAACGUAGGGAAACUUACGCUAAUACCGCAUACGACCUACGGGUGAAAGCAGGGGAUCUUCGGACCUUGCGCGAUUGAAUGAGCCGAUGUCGGAUUAGCUAGUUGGCGGGGUAAAGGCCCACCAAGGCGACGAUCCGUAGCUGGUCUGAGAGGAUGAUCAGCCACACUGGAACUGAGACACGGUCCAGACUCCUACGGGAGGCAGCAGUGGGGAAUAUUGGACAAUGGGCGCAAGCCUGAUCCAGCAAUACCGCGUGGGUGAAGAAGGCCUUCGGGUUGUAAAGCCCUUUUGUUGGGAAAGAAAAGCAGCAGGUUAAUACCCCGCUGUUCUGACGGUACCCAAAGAAUAAGCACCGGCUAACUUCGUG